RNAcentral lists this non-coding RNA (28 nucleotides) under Rattus norvegicus (Norway rat). The record is from RNAcentral. Lineage: Eukaryota; Metazoa; Chordata; Mammalia; Rodentia; Muridae.
UGGCAAGAAGAACUGCUUUGCUUUUGGG